CAUUGAGAAGCUUUGCAUCAGCACUAGCCUUUUAAGUUAGAGAAGGAGACUAAUAUUUCCCUCAAUGA
This 68-nucleotide transfer RNA is filed under the name Holbrookia maculata (lesser earless lizard). RNAcentral describes it as "tRNA-Lys". RNAcentral also lists the same sequence under 1 other name. Lineage: Eukaryota; Metazoa; Chordata; Lepidosauria; Squamata; Phrynosomatidae. The record is from RNAcentral.